This 343-nucleotide unclassified non-coding RNA is filed under the name soil metagenome. RNAcentral's name for it is "partial contains 5.8S ribosomal RNA, internal transcribed spacer 2, and large subunit ribosomal RNA". The stretch from base 1 to 120 matches the Rfam family "5.8S ribosomal RNA", at positions 35 to 154 of the family's 154-position model. The record is from RNAcentral.
GAUGAAGAACGUAGCGAAACGCGAUAAGUAAUGUGAAUUGCAGAAUCCAGUGAAUCAUCGAAUCUUUGAACGCACAUUGCGCCCGCCAGCAUUCUGGCGGGCAUGCCUGUUCGAGCGUCAUUUCAACCCUCGACCUCCCCUUGGGGAGGUCGGCGUUGGGGACCGGCAGCACACCGCCGGCCCUGAAAUGGAGUGGCGGCCCGUCCGCGGCGACCUCUGCGCAGUAAUACAACUCGCACCGGGACCCCGACGCGGCCACGCCGUAAAACACCCAACUUCUGAACGUUGACCUCGAAUCAGGUAGGACUACCCGCUGAACUUAAGCAUAUCAAUAAGCGGAGGA